GAAAGAACGGAGGGAAAGAUACCUUGCUCGGCAGCAGGUUGAAGGUGUUGAUUCGGUUUAAUCUGUAACCUGAAGCUGGUACUUGCUGUAAGCCUUUCUUUUUUACUUUAUUAUGAAAUGUUUUACAUAAGUAGUAGCAAAAAUCUGUCGUUAUCCUCGUCCCCUUUUAUUUUCAUGUUUGAUAAGGCGUGUGUUUAGAGUUUCAAUGGGAAAGA
This 215-nucleotide unclassified non-coding RNA is filed under the name Hevea brasiliensis (rubber tree). Lineage: Eukaryota; Viridiplantae; Streptophyta; Magnoliopsida; Malpighiales; Euphorbiaceae. The record is from RNAcentral.